RNAcentral lists this ribosomal RNA (669 nucleotides) under Escherichia coli. RNAcentral describes it as "bacterial SSU rRNA". It matches the Rfam family "Bacterial small subunit ribosomal RNA", at positions 853 to 1522 of the family's 1533-position model. Lineage: Bacteria; Pseudomonadati; Pseudomonadota; Gammaproteobacteria; Enterobacterales; Enterobacteriaceae. The record is from RNAcentral.
UAACGCGUUAAGUCGACCGCCUGGGGAGUACGGCCGCAAGGUUAAAACUCAAAUGAAUUGACGGGGGCCCGCACAAGCGGUGGAGCAUGUGGUUUAAUUCGAUGCAACGCGAAGAACCUUACCUGGUCUUGACAUCCACGGAAGUUUUCAGAGAUGAGAAUGUGCCUUCGGGAACCGUGAGACAGGUGCUGCAUGGCUGUCGUCAGCUCGUGUUGUGAAAUGUUGGGUUAAGUCCCGCAACGAGCGCAACCCUUAUCCUUUGUUGCCAGCGGUCCGGCCGGGAACUCAAAGGAGACUGCCAGUGAUAAACUGGAGGAAGGUGGGGAUGACGUCAAGUCAUCAUGGCCCUUACGACCAGGGCUACACACGUGCUACAAUGGCGCAUACAAAGAGAAGCGACCUCGCGAGAGCAAGCGGACCUCAUAAAGUGCGUCGUAGUCCGGAUUGGAGUCUGCAACUCGACUCCAUGAAGUCGGAAUCGCUAGUAAUCGUGGAUCAGAAUGCCACGGUGAAUACGUUCCCGGGCCUUGUACACACCGCCCGUCACACCAUGGGAGUGGGUUGCAAAAGAAGUAGGUAGCUUAACCUUCGGGAGGGCGCUUACCACUUUGUGAUUCAUGACUGGGGUGAAGUCGUAACAAGGUAACCGUAGGGGAACCUGCGGUUGGA